RNAcentral lists this ribosomal RNA (274 nucleotides) under uncultured bacterium. RNAcentral describes it as "partial 16S ribosomal RNA". It matches the Rfam family "Bacterial small subunit ribosomal RNA", at positions 523 to 796 of the family's 1533-position model. The record is from RNAcentral.
AUACGGAGGGUCCGAGCGUUAUCCGGCAUCAUUGGGUUUAAAGGGUCCGGAGGCGGGAAUCUAAGUCAGUGGUGAAAUCUUGCAGCUCAACUGUAAAAUUGCCAUUGAUACUGGAUUUCUCGAAUUAGUGUGAAGUGGUUAGAAUGUGUAGUGUAGCGGUGAAAUGCAUAGAUAUUACACAGAAUACCAAUUGCGAAGGCAGAUCACUAACACUAUAUUGACGCUGAGGGACGAAAGCGUGGGGAGCAAACAGGAUUAGAAACCCUAGUAGUCC